AGUACAUAGGAGGUAUAUAUAUUUAUAAGGUACAUGACACCUGGCUGUAAAUGACCUUGUUAAUGUUUCAUUGCAUAUGUGUGUGCUUCAUUGUUUUUUAUUCGUUUUUCUUUUGGUUCCUCUGACCGUAUAUUUUCAAAUAGGCUGUCUUCAAGCUCACUAAUACUUCCUUAUGCUUGAUUGAGUCUAUUAUUAAGUGACUCUCAGACAUUCUUCAGUAUGUCAACUGCAUUUUUCAACUCCAGAAUUUUGGCUUAAUUCUUUUUAAUUAUUUCAAUUUCUUUUUUAAAUGUGCCUGAUAGAAUUCUGAAUUUUUUCUCAAGUUAUCUUGAAUUCCUUUGAGUUUCUUCAAAAUACUAUUCUGAAUUCUUCAUCUGAAAGGUCACAUGUCUCUUUUUCUUCCAGGAUUUGUCCCUGGUGCCUUGUUUCGUUCAUUGGUGAGGUCAUGUUUUCCUGGAUGAUCCUGAUUCUUGUAGAUGUUUUUUGGUAUCUAGGCAUUGAUGAAUUAGGUAUUUAUUUUAGUCUUCUCAGGCUUGUUUGUGCCUGUCCUUGAGAAGGCUUUCCAGGUAUUCAAAGGGACUUGGUCUUCCUGUUUGAUAUCUCUGUGGUUGUUGCAGACUCAUAGAGGUUCUGCUUUGGUGGUCUUGCAUAAGAUCCAGAAAAAUUACCUGGAUUUCCAGGCAGAGACUCUUGUUUUUUCCCCUUACUUUCUCCCAAACAAAUGGGGUCUCUCUCUCUCUGUACUGAGCCACCUGAAAUUGGGAGUGUGGUGAUGCAAGCACCCCUGUGGCCACCACCACUGGCACUGCACUGGGUUAGACCUGAAGCCAGCACAGCACUGGGUCUCACCCAAGGCCUGCUGUAACCACUACUUGGCUACUACCUGUGUUCACUGAAGGCCCUAGGGCUCUACAAUCAGCAGGUGACAAAGCCAGUGAGAUUUUUUCACUUCCCUUCAGAGCAGUGAGUUUUCCCAGGCCUUGGGUGGGUACAGAGAUGCUGUUUGGGAGCUAGGGAUUGAAGUAAAAUGUCUUAUAAAUUUACCUUAUGUUCUGCUCUACUGCUGCUAAGCUGUCACUCAAAUCACAAGACAAAGUUUUCCCCACUCUUCCCUCCCCUUUUCACAGGUAGAGGAGCUCUCUCUGUGGCCACCAUUACCACCGGCCCAUGAGGGGUUCUGCCAGGCCACUGCAUAUGUUUGCUGACAGCCCAAGGGCUCAUCAGUCAGCUUGUGGUAAAUGGUGUCUGGCCUGGGUCUCACCCUUUAGGGAAGUGGGCUCUCCUGUGGCCCAGGGCAGGUCCAGAAAUGCUGUUGAAGACCCUAGGCCUGGUCUUGAGGGCCCCAAGAGCCUGCUUGGUGCGCUACACCACUGUGGCUGAACUGGUACCUAAGAUGCAAGGCAAAGCCUCCUCUUUACUUUUGCCUCUGCUUUUCUCAAACAGAAGGAGUCUUUCACCAUAGCCACCACAGCUGGGAAUAUGCUGAGUCACACAUUUAGUUAGCAAAUCUCAGAGCCCAAGGCCCACUACAUACCACCUGGGUACUGCUGCUGGUUAUUUAGGGCCCAAUGGUUCUGUAUUCAGCAGAUGAUGAAUUCUGCCAGGACUGUGUUCUUCCCUUCAAGGCAGUAGGUUCCCUUUUCACCCAGGGGUGUCUAGAGAUGUUGUCCAGGAGCUAGGGCUUGGAAUGGGGGCCUCACAACUCUACCCAGUCUCCUAUCCUACUGUGGCUGAGGUGGUAUCCACGAUGCGGGACAGAAUCCUCUGUACUCUUCACUCUCUUCACUUAAACAAAGGGAAUGAGACACUUUCAUUUGUGUGAGCUGCACUGCCUGAGAUUGGGGGUGGGGUAGCGCAAGCACCUUUUUUUAGUCACCCCAGCUGGUGUCUCUUUAGGUCACAUGUCACUCUAGUCCUCUGGCUCUGAGCCUAGCUCAGCAUUAGAAAUUGCCUAAACAUUGCAGUCCUUCUGUCCUAGACUGACCUUUAAGUUUACCUAGGACUCCAGAGCUCUUUGGCUGGCAUUUGCGAGGCUUGCCAAGAAACUUGAGUUCUGAAAGAAGGAAUGGGCAAUUCCUCUUUGAGUGGGUCUUCUUCAAAUGCUCCCUUCGUGCACUGGCACUGAUUGAGCCCAGCCUGGCUCUGCUCCCAUCUCUCCAACCCUCUUCAAUGCCUCAUCCAAUGAUAUGAAGUUAAAACCAGGUACUGUGAUUGCUCACCUGAUUUUUACUUCUAUGUUGGUGCUUUUCUUUGUGCAGAUAGUUGUUAAAAUUUGGUGUUUAUGUGGGGUGUAUGAACCAUGUAGGCUUCUAUUGCACCAUCUUGCUCAUCCUCCUCUGGCAGUGUUUUUUUGCCUAGAACUUAGGCACUGCUGAUCCCUGACCCCCUUUGGAUUCCCACAAGAGCCCUGCUUGGGCUCAGCCCACACAGACCCACAGAGAACAUUUUGCCAAGUGAGUGGAAUCUGGCCCUCCCCUUCCAGGACAAUCUGCACAACAAAAAACCACCUGAUUGCCUUUGGUGCUAUUACCCAAGGUCUUGGGGUCUGGCCUCUUGGGAAAAGGGCAGGAACAGAUAGAGAAGAGUGGUUCAGGGAAAGAAGGGCAGAAGGUUGGAGAAAUCUAGUCUUUGAGCCUCUUUGGUGAGGAAUUUCAUUUC
Molecule: long non-coding RNA, 2658 nt
Filed under: Pan troglodytes (chimpanzee)
Lineage: Eukaryota; Metazoa; Chordata; Mammalia; Primates; Hominidae
Description: long non-coding RNA NONPTRT017252
Source: RNAcentral